RNAcentral lists this non-coding RNA (28 nucleotides) under Callithrix jacchus (white-tufted-ear marmoset). The record is from RNAcentral. RNAcentral also lists the same sequence under 2 other names. Lineage: Eukaryota; Metazoa; Chordata; Mammalia; Primates; Cebidae.
UGGCAUCACUAGGGCCCACAUUUGGAAC